UACGUAGGGUGCGAGCGUUAAUCGGAAUUACUGGGCGUAAAGCGUGCGCAGGCGGUUGUGUAAGACAGGUGUGAAAUCCCCGGGCUUAACCUGGGAACGGCGCUUGUGACUGCACGGCUAGAGUACGGCAGAGGGGGGUGGAAUUCCACGUGUAGCAGUGAAAUGCGUAGAUAUGUGGAGGAACACCGAUGGCGAAGGCAGCCCCCUGGGCCGAUACUGACGCUCAUGCACGAAAGCGUGGGGAGCAAACAGG
Molecule: ribosomal RNA, 253 nt
Filed under: uncultured prokaryote
Description: partial 16S ribosomal RNA
Rfam family: Bacterial small subunit ribosomal RNA
Source: RNAcentral